This 219-nucleotide unclassified non-coding RNA is filed under the name Glomeraceae sp. RNAcentral's name for it is "partial contains 5.8S ribosomal RNA and internal transcribed spacer 2". The stretch from base 1 to 71 matches the Rfam family "5.8S ribosomal RNA", at positions 84 to 154 of the family's 154-position model. Lineage: Eukaryota; Fungi; Glomeromycota; Glomeromycetes; Glomerales; Glomeraceae. The record is from RNAcentral.
GUGAAUCAUCGAAUCUUUGAACGCAAAUUGCACUCUCUGGUAUUCCGGAGAGUAUGCCUGUUUGAGGGUCAGUUUAAAUAAAAAUCGGUGUGGUUGCUGCCUUUCGUGGUGACGCACCGGAUUUGGGUCGUCUUGCCUUCGGUUAAGUGACCUAAAAUUUUGCAUGAUUUUUUUCGAACGAUUUUAAUUAUUUUUACUAAGUUUUGCGUUAUCAAUUAC